GUCUAAGUGCUGAAAUUUGGUAGACAGAGGUUGCUUAAGCCAACCUGGGUAGUACCCAUGAGUGUUCAAGUCACUCCUUAGAUA
This is a non-coding RNA of Hirsutella rhossiliensis, 84 nucleotides long. The record is from the annotation of a RefSeq genome assembly. Lineage: Eukaryota; Fungi; Ascomycota; Sordariomycetes; Hypocreales; Ophiocordycipitaceae.